RNAcentral lists this ribosomal RNA (914 nucleotides) under uncultured bacterium. RNAcentral's name for it is "bacterial SSU rRNA". It matches the Rfam family "Bacterial small subunit ribosomal RNA", at positions 8 to 914 of the family's 1533-position model. The record is from RNAcentral.
AGAGUUUGAUCCUGGCUCAGGAUGAACGCUAGCUACAGGCUUAACACAUGCAAGUCGAGGGGCAGCGGGAUUGAAGCUUGCUUCAAUUGCCGGCGACCGGCGCACGGGUGAGUAACGCGUAUCCAACCUUCCGUACACUCAGGGAUAGCCUUUCGAAAGAAAGAUUAAUACCUGAUGGUAUGAUGAGAUUGCAUGAUAGCAUCAUUAAAGAUUUAUCGGUGUACGAUGGGGAUGCGUUCCAUUAGGUAGUAGGCGGGGUAACGACCCACCUAGCCAACGAUGGAUAGGGGUUCUGAGAGGAAGGUCCCCCACAUUGGAACUGAGACACGGUCCAAACUCCUACGGGAGGCAGCAGUGAGGAAUAUUGGUCAAUGGACGAGAGUCUGAACCAGCCAAGUAGCGUGAAGGAUGAAGGUCCUACGGAUUGUAAACUUCUUUUAUAAGGGAAUAAACCCUCCCACGUGUGGGAGCUUGUAUGUACCUUAUGAAUAAGCAUCGGCUAACUCCGUGCCAGCAGCCGCGGUAAUACGGAGGAUGCGAGCGUUAUCCGGAUUUAUUGGGUUUAAAGGGAGCGCAGACGGGUCGUUAAGUCAGCUGUGAAAGUUUGGGGCUCAACCUUAAAAUUGCAGUUGAUACUGGCGUCCUUGAGUGCGGUUGAGGUGUGCGGAAUUCGUGGUGUAGCGGUGAAAUGCUUAGAUAUCACGAAGAACUCCGAUUGCGAAGGCAGCACACUAAUCCGUAACUGACGUUCAUGCUCGAAAGUGUGGGUAUCAAACAGGAUUAGAUACCCUGGUAGUCCACACGGUAAACGAUGGAUACUCGCUGUUGGCGAUAUACUGUCAGCGGCUUAGCGAAAGCGUUAAGUAUCCCACCUGGGGAGUACGCCGGCAACGGUGAAACUCAAAUGAAUUGAC